This 386-nucleotide ribosomal RNA is filed under the name uncultured bacterium. Its description in RNAcentral is "bacterial SSU rRNA". It matches the Rfam family "Bacterial small subunit ribosomal RNA", at positions 28 to 412 of the family's 1533-position model. The record is from RNAcentral.
GACGAACGCUGGCGGCGUGCUUAACACAUGCAAGUCGAGCGGUAAGGCCCUUUCGGGGGUACACGAGCGGCGAACGGGUGAGUAACACGUGGGUGACCUGCCCUCCAGCUCUGGGAUAACGCCCGGGAAACUGGGUCUAAUACCGGAUAUGACUUCAUGACGCAUGUUGUGGAGUGGAAAGCCUUGUGCGGCUGAGGAUCGGGCCCGCGGCCUAUCAGCUUGUUGGUGGGGUGANGGCCUACCAAGGCGACGACGGGUAGCCGGCCUGAGAGGGCGACCGGCCACACUGGGACUGAGACACGGCCCAGACUCCUACGGGAGGCAGCAGUGGGGAAUCUUGCGCAAUGGGCGAAAGCCUGACGCAGCGACGCCGCGUGAGGGAUGAC